RNAcentral lists this ribosomal RNA (253 nucleotides) under uncultured bacterium. RNAcentral's name for it is "partial 16S ribosomal RNA". It matches the Rfam family "Bacterial small subunit ribosomal RNA", at positions 524 to 776 of the family's 1533-position model. The record is from RNAcentral.
UACGUAGGGUGCGAGCGUUGUCCGGAAUUACUGGGCGUAAAGAGCUCGUAGGUGGUUUGUCGCGUUGUCCGUGAAAACUCACAACUCAAUUGUGGGCGUGCGGGCGAUACGGGCAGACUGGAGUACUGCAGGGGAGACUGGAAUUCCUGGUGUAGCGGUGGAAUGCGCAGAUAUCAGGAGGAACACCGGUGGCGAAGGCGGCUUUCUGGACAGACACCGACGCUGAGGCACGAAAGCUAGGGGAGCAAACAGG